Molecule: long non-coding RNA, 2380 nt
Organism: Mirounga angustirostris (Northern elephant seal)
Lineage: Eukaryota; Metazoa; Chordata; Mammalia; Carnivora; Phocidae
Exons: 3
Source: RefSeq, a predicted model, not a curated record
GUUUGCAAAACAUGACUCUCAAGAACCAUCCAGCCUCCCUGGAAAGAAGGUGACUAGAUACUGCAGAAACAACCAUGGUGCAGAGGAUUAUACUGAGCUUUUUCAGGCUGGAGGAUUGGAGUGUCAAGGGGGCAUAAGGAUUCCAGAAUGUGCCACAGGCCUGGGGAAAGAGCUGCAUUUCUUAGUUUUCCUCUGAGAUGUCACUGAGUUAGAAAGAACUGGAAGGAGGUCAGCAUCUACUCCUUUUUUGUUCCAGCAAAGGGCAUCCACCAAGGAGGAGGAUGGCUCCAUCUCCCCAUACCCAUUUCUUCUAGUUUGCAGUUAACUUCUCAGUGUUGCUUGUUUUGCCCCCUUUUAUCAUCCGGUGAAGACCUUCUAGGUGUUUCUAUCACUAGUGGCAUUGUAGGAUCACAGGAUGCUUUGGAAGUUCAGUGACAGAAGCAGUUGAGAAGGAAAUGAAAGGAGUGAAAAUGAAGGGAUAAAAGAAAGGAAAAAGGGAAAAGUGAGAAAUAUAUUUGGUAGAGAGUGUGGCAGCACGGGUAUGGUGGGAGAGACACUGGAUAAGUUUUGAGAGAUAAUUUGAUAAAAUUCAGUAUCCAUUUCUUUCUCUUUUUUAAAAAAAUAUGUUAUUUAUUUAUUUAUUUGAGAGAGAAAUAGAGAGAGAGCAUGAGCUCGAGUGUGAGCAGGGGGAGGGGCAGAGGGAGAGGAGAAAGAAUCUUAUGUAGAUUCCAUGCUCAGCACAGAGCCUGAUGAUCAGGACCUGAGCCGAAACCAAGAGUCUGACGCCCAGUCGACUGAGCCACCCAGGUGCCCCUCAGUGUCCAUUUCUAAUAAUUCACUGUAUCAGUUUCUUAUAGCUGCUGUAACAAAUUAGUGCAAACGUGGUUGCCUAAAACAAUAGAAAUCUAUUCUGUCACACUUCUGAAGGCCAAAAGUCUGAAAUCAAGAUGUGGGCAGGGCAGGCUCCCUCCAGAGACUCUGGGAGAGAAUCCUUUCCUUGCCUCAUGUAGCUUCUGGGAGCUUCCACAUUCCUCGGCACCCCUCAGCCUGUGCCUCCCGUACUCCAGGCUCUGCCUCCAUCUUCUCUAGGUUCUUUCAAGAACACAGAGUCAGCAUCAAAUUGUUAAUAUGACAAAACAGAGUUCAGCUCAACCCGGUCUAAAAAAAAAAAAAAAAAGAGCUCCAAUCCCAUGAGGCUGUAAGAGUCUUCGGAGUGCUUUCAUUCUUCGAAAAUAGGACCAUUUCUGGGUGAGUUGAUGGUGCUGCCCUGAACAGGCUGGCUGAUUCCCCUUUGACACGUCCAGCAAUUCUUUGUGUCUUUCACUGAUUCUUCAUUCACGUCUCAUUCUGUCAAAAUGUUCUUGCUUUGACUGCCUUCCAUUCUUUUGCUCUUGUUGUUUUCCUGCCUCUCAUUCAACUCUCUACUUCUGUUUGUCACCAGAUCUGCAUAUUCCUGCCCCCAGCCCCCCGCCCGCCAAGCUCCAUUCAUCUGCCUGAAAUCUGUUCCCCCCCACAACACGUCUGCUUUGGAACUCCUGUUCUGCCUUCUCCCCACCGCCCACCCCACUGGGCCUGACUUUCCUCUUUCACUUAAUUUCAUGUAGAUGUGGAAAAGCUAAAUUACUACUACUAUUACUGCGACCACCACUAUUAUGAUUAUGACUAUUACUGCUUAUCUUCUGAUCUUCUGCACCUCUAAUCCAGUAAAUUACCAGAGCCUAGGGGUUUUGCCUCCAUAAAGUUUAAGCAGCGUAUUUAUCAGUCAGAUGGCUGUGGUCACUGCCUCUUACUUCUUGGGUGUAGCGCUUGUCCCGUGCAUGGAUGGGACAUGGGGGAUGGCCUUGAAGAGCAAGCCAUGGGUGAGCAGAUGGGUUGGGUCAAUUGGUUUAGGAAGGGAGCCAUUAAAGGUAUGUUCAGACUACUGUAACCAUACAGAUGAGGAACAUUUAUUCUGCGUGUUUUUAUGGAAGGCUCCCUGAAGGAGAACAUGCUUGAGCUGUGUUAAAGUUGACCAGUAGAGACAGCUGAUGGCAGCAUUCUAGGGGAAUCACGAGCAAAGACCUGGAAGCUUAAAAUGCCAAGGUGUGUAAUAUGGGUGUGUGUGUGUGUGUUUACCACACUUUCAGAAUAUUCUGAAGAUAUUAGAUUCAUCUUGUUACAUGAUUUUUUUGAAAUGUGGACGACAUGACCUCCUCAACUGAACAACAGAGAACUCCUUUUCUUAAAUCUGAAAUUAUAUAAAAAACUAAUGAUGUAUGGUGACUAAUAUAACAUAAUAAAAUAAAAUUAAAAAAAUAGAUUAUUAUGAAAUUAUUUAAAAAUUUAAAGCUUUGGUCUUUUUUUUUUUAAAGAUUUAUUUAUUUAUUUGAGAGAGCGAGAA